CGUCGUCGUCGUCGUCCGAAGACAUUUGGUUUUCGCACUAUAACUUUAGUAUAAGUAAAUAGAAAUCUAUGAAAUUUAAACACAAUGUUUAUGACCACAAAAGGAAGGUUGGGAUUGAUUUUUUGAGUUUUUGUCGUAACAGUUUAGGAAUAAGGGGCCAAAAAGGGCCCAAAUAAGCAUUUUCUUGGUUUUUGCACUAUAACUUUAGUUUAAGUAAAUAGAAAUCUAUGAAAUUUUGACACAGGGUUUAUGACCACAAGAGAAAGGUUGGGAUUGAUUUUGGGAGUUUUGGUUUUAACUGUUUAGGAAUUAGGGGCC
RNAcentral lists this long non-coding RNA (318 nucleotides) under Mytilus galloprovincialis (Mediterranean mussel). Lineage: Eukaryota; Metazoa; Mollusca; Bivalvia; Mytilida; Mytilidae. The record is from RNAcentral.